GCUUACGGCCAUACCAGCCUGGGUACGCCUGAUCUCGUCUGAUCUCGGAAGCUAAGCAGGGUUGGGCCUGGUUAGUACUUGGAUGGGAGACCGCCUGGGAAUACCAGGUGCUGUAAGCA
Molecule: ribosomal RNA, 119 nt
Filed under: Salmo salar (Atlantic salmon)
Lineage: Eukaryota; Metazoa; Chordata; Actinopteri; Salmoniformes; Salmonidae
Source: RNAcentral